This 309-nucleotide ribosomal RNA is filed under the name uncultured Actinomycetes bacterium. Its description in RNAcentral is "bacterial SSU rRNA". It matches the Rfam family "Bacterial small subunit ribosomal RNA", at positions 97 to 390 of the family's 1533-position model. The record is from RNAcentral. Lineage: Bacteria; Bacillati; Actinomycetota; Actinomycetes.
GGCGAACGGGUGAGUAACACGUAAACAAUCUACCUUUAAGUUUGGGAUAACCUUGCCAACGCGAGGCUAAUACCGGAUGUGAUGCACUGACCGCAUGGUUGGUGUCUUAAAGAUGACCUCUAUUUAUAAGUUAUCGCUUAGAGAUGAGUUUGCGGCCCAUUAGUUAGUUGGCGGGGUAACGGCCCACCAAGACUUCGAUGGGUAGCCGGCCUGAGAGGGUGAACGGCCGCAUUGGGACUGAGAUACGGCCCAGACUCCUUCGGGAGGCAGCAGUAGGGAAUUUUGCGCAAUGGGCGAAAGCCUGACGCA